AAGUGAUAUGAUGCGGUUGGACAC
Molecule: non-coding RNA, 24 nt
Filed under: Arabidopsis thaliana (thale cress)
Lineage: Eukaryota; Viridiplantae; Streptophyta; Magnoliopsida; Brassicales; Brassicaceae
Source: RNAcentral